UACGUAGGGUGCGAGCGUUGCCCGGAUUUAUUGGGCGUAAAGGGCGCGUAGGCGGCUCUGCACGUCCGUUGUGAAAUCUCCCGGCUCAACUGGGAGGGUGCGCCGAAUACUGAAUGACUAGAGUGCGGGAGAGGAAAGUGGAAUUCCUGGUGUAGCGGUGAAAUGCGUAGAUAUCAGGAGGAACACCGGUGGUGUAGACGGCUUUCUGGACCGUAACUGACGCUGAGACACGAAAGCGUGGGUAGCAAACAGG
Molecule: ribosomal RNA, 253 nt
Filed under: uncultured bacterium
Lineage: Bacteria
Description: partial 16S ribosomal RNA
Rfam family: Bacterial small subunit ribosomal RNA
Source: RNAcentral